AUUGAACGCUGGCGACAGGCCUAACACAUACAAGUCGAACGGUAGCACAGAGGAGCUUGCUCCUUGGGUGACGAGUGGCGGGCGGGUGAGUAAUGUCUGGGAAACUGCCCGAUGGAGGGGGAUAACUACUGGAAACGGUAGCUAAUACCGCAUAACGUCGCAAGACCAAAGAGGGGGACCUUCGGGCCUCUUGCCAUCGGAUGUGCCCAGAUGGGAUUAGCUAGUAGGUGGGGUAACGGCUCACCUAGGCGACGAUCCCUAGCUGGUCUGAGAGGAUGACCAGCCACACUGGAACUGAGACACGGUCCAGACUCCUACGGGAGGCAGCAGUGGGGAAUAUUGCACAAUGGGCGCAAGCCUGAUGCAGCCAUGCCGCGUGUGUGAAGAAGGCCUUCGGGUUGUAAAGUACUUUCAGCGGGGAGGAAGGGGUUAAGGUUAAUAACCUUAGCCAUUGACGUUACCCGCAGAAGAAGCACCGGCUAACUCCGUGCCAGCAGCCGCCGUAA
Molecule: ribosomal RNA, 506 nt
Filed under: uncultured bacterium
Lineage: Bacteria
Description: partial 16S ribosomal RNA
Rfam family: Bacterial small subunit ribosomal RNA
Source: RNAcentral